AAAGUGACGGUACCUGCAGAAGAAGCGCCGGCUAACUACGUGCCAGCAGCCGCGGUAAUACGUAGGGCGCAAGCGUUAUCCGGGAAUUAUUGGGCGUAAAGAGCUCGUAGGCGGUUUGUCGCGUCUAUCGUGAAAGUCCGAGGCUCAACCUCGGAUCUGCGGUGGGUACGGGCAGACUAGAGUGAUGUAGGGGAGACUGGAAUUCCUGGUGUAGCGGUGAAAUGCGCAGAUAUCAGGAGGAACACCGAUGGCGAAGGCAGGUCUCUGGGCAUUAACUGACGCUGAGGAGCGAAAGCAUGGGGAGCGAACAGGAUUAGAUACCCUGGUAGUCCAUGCCGUAAACGUUGGGCACUAGGUGUGGGGGACAUUCCACGUUUUCCGCGCCGUAGCUAACGCAUUAAGUGCCCCGCCUGGGGAGUACGGCCGCAAGGCUAAAACUCAAAGGAAUUGACGGGGGCCCGCACAAGCGGCGGAGCAUGCGGAUUAAUUCGAUGCAACGCGAAGAACCUUACCAAGGCUUGACAUGUGCCAGACCGCCGUGGAAACACGGUUUCCCCUUUGGGGCUGGUUCACAGGUGGUGCAUGGUUGUCGUCAGCUCGUGUCGUGAGAUGUUGGGUUAAGUCCCGCAACGAGCGCAACCCUCGUUCCAUGUUGCCAGCGCGUAAAGGCGGGGACUCAUGGGAGACUGCCGGGGUCAACUCGGAGGAAGGUGGGGACGACGUCAAAUCAUCAUGCCCCUUAUGUCUUGGGCUUCACGCAUGCUACAAUGGCCGGUACAAUGGGUUGCGAUACUGUGAGGUGGAGCUAAUCCCAAAAAGCCGGUCUCAGUUCGGAUUGGGGUCUGCAACUCGACCCCAUGAAGUCGGAGUCGCUAGUAAUCGCAGAUCAGCAUCGCUGCGGUGAAUACGUUCCCGGGCCUUGAACACGUUACCCGUCAAGCCAGGAAAGGAAUUACAACCAAAGUUAAAGUCUUCCCUCCUUCGGGAGGUCGCACC
Molecule: ribosomal RNA, 996 nt
Filed under: Paeniglutamicibacter sp.
Lineage: Bacteria; Bacillati; Actinomycetota; Actinomycetes; Micrococcales; Micrococcaceae
Description: bacterial SSU rRNA
Rfam family: Bacterial small subunit ribosomal RNA
Source: RNAcentral